GACGAACGCUGGCGGCGUGCUUAACACAUGCAAGUCGAACGGGCCCGCUCUCUUUUUUGGGGGUGGGUUGAGUGGCGAACGGGUGAGCAUCACGUGAGUAACCUGCCCCCUGCUCCUGGAUAACUGCUUGAAAGGGCGGCUAAUACGGGGUGUGCCGGCUGGUCCGCAUGGGCCUGGUCGGGAUAGUUUCAUCUUCGGGUGUUUCGGUGGGGGAUGGGCUCGCGGCCUAUCAGCUUGUUGGUGGGGUGAUGGCCCACCAAGGCGGUGACGGGUAGCCGGCCUGAGAGGGUGGGCGGCCACACUGGGACUGAGACACGGCCCAGACUCCUGCGGGAGGCAGCAGUGGGGGGUAUUGCACAAUGGACGGAAGCCUGAUGCAGCGACGUCGCGUGAGGGAUGGAGGCCUUCGGGUUGUGAACCUCUUUCUCCGGUGGUGAAGGCCCUGUCCGUUGCGGCGGGGUUGACGGUAGCCGGGUAUGAAGCGCCGGCUAACUACGU
Molecule: ribosomal RNA, 498 nt
Filed under: uncultured bacterium
Lineage: Bacteria
Description: partial 16S ribosomal RNA
Rfam family: Bacterial small subunit ribosomal RNA
Source: RNAcentral